RNAcentral lists this long non-coding RNA (424 nucleotides) under Sus scrofa (pig). RNAcentral's name for it is "lncRNA (ENSSSCG00030028820.1)". Lineage: Eukaryota; Metazoa; Chordata; Mammalia; Artiodactyla; Suidae. The record is from RNAcentral.
AUGAUUAUCGUCUGGGAGCAGCAGUGUUCAACUGUGAAUUUUGUAGGCUAUCUCCAAAAUACCCCUUGCCCUGUGAAGAUGCUGACAGAGAUAACAGUGGAGCUCCAAUAUGGUAAAGGAUGGUUAUCUUGGAGAAGAUAUUUGAUGUUGGUGUUGAAGAAAGUUCAGCAAUGGCUUGGCUAUGAAAUGAGAUGAAGAGUUCUGGAAGCCUGUGUAGAAAGGCUCAUAGAAGAAAGCAGGUGAGACUUUACUAAAAUACAUAAGGAGUAAUAUUUUUUUUUUCAAAAAGGGUAGUUCUGUAUAAUGUAAUUUUAGGGGGAGUCUGGGUGAAGGGUAUGUGGAACCUCUCUGUACUAUGUAGAUACUUGUGAGUCAAUAAUUAUUUCAAAAUAAAAAGUUAAAGCAAAUUUUAAAAGAUAAAACA